RNAcentral lists this long non-coding RNA (1016 nucleotides) under Cricetulus griseus (Chinese hamster). RNAcentral describes it as "lncRNA (ENSCGRG00015033258.1)". The record is from RNAcentral. Lineage: Eukaryota; Metazoa; Chordata; Mammalia; Rodentia; Cricetidae.
CUAGAGGUGGGUUGUGUUUGAUGGUUGAUACCGGGUGAGGUGAUGGGAGAAGGGUCCAUUGUGACUGCUAGCUGGGUUCUGGACCUGGAAAGCUCUGGAAUCCCAUGGGGACGAAUGGGGGAAAGGGAUAGCCCAGCUGUGGGGUUCUCAGCUCUGGUGUGCCCCAGGAGGACGGACCUGUAGCUCAGGACGCAGGUGACGAAAUGUGGAGUCCUAACUUCGAAGGCCAGAGGUGGCCUUCAUCAAGACUCACUCACUGUUCGCCACUCACCCUCUCCAUCCAUGCAGCUAGGCCCAGUUCUAAAAUUCUGCGAGCCUGAGGCUGCGUGUGCAAUGGCACGUGCUUGACUAAGAAUAGAACACUGAUGACUGGAAAUGCCACUCCAGUGGGGCAGCAAGGGACACACUGCCAAGACUCAGAGAGGCUACAAGAGAGGAUGUAGAAGACAUGGAAGAACCACAUAGCCAGAGGAAGGAGGUUGUAUUUGAAGCAAUGCUAAAUUUUCGCCAACACAUUUCAGGAUGGUGACAAGGAAAUUAGGAGCCAACUCACAGAGUGGGAGCAAACUGGGUAUGGUGGCUCAUGAUUGUUAUCACAGCAGAAGACUGAGGCAGGAUUGCUGUAAGCCGAAAGCCAGACUGAGCCUUGUCACAAACAAAGAAAAACAGCAAUGUGAGCAAAUAGCAUCCUUUGAAGGGUGCUCAGUGCUGAACCAAAAGUCACUCUGUAAAGAACCUGUCAGGCUCUCCUGAAGCCUGUUUCUCAUUCUAAAGGUAUGGGAUGCCCCAGAGUGUAGACAGAAUGGACUCUUGGAACUGCAUUGAACCCCAGACCUUUAAGCACCAAUGGGAGGGGAGAGAAUACAUCACUGUUGUGUUUUUUUAUCCCAUUGUUAUGUUACCUCAAUAAAGUUUCAUCUCAAGGCUUAUUUAUUCCUCUGUAUUCUGUCCCAUCUUGACAAAAAGCCCAGGCUUUGGUAGCAAACAAUUUUACUGAGGAUCAGCCUUCCCCAUGG